Molecule: long non-coding RNA, 638 nt
Filed under: Gallus gallus (chicken)
Lineage: Eukaryota; Metazoa; Chordata; Aves; Galliformes; Phasianidae
Source: RNAcentral
AAAACCAGCUCUGAACAGUCAAAGAUCCAGUCCUCCUAGUCCUUCACAACACCACCACCUUUAGCAGACAAGAGGGAAAAGGAUGCCCAGCUGCCAUGUCCUUACUGAGCGAAGAGAUCUGCCUGCCCCGUGCCACCUAAUUCCAAUAUCCUCCCCCAGGCUCCUCUCCAGGCUUUGUGGAAACCCUGUAGUAGUAAAUAGUGACUUACGUAUUGCACACUGCCAUGGUCUGACACGACUCUCCUGUACAGAAUUCUGAGAUUGUACUAUAUUGUAAGUUGAUGUGAUGAAAGAAAGUUGUUGUGUUGCUGGCGAGCCACUCGUUGAGGUCUAUUUCUCGUGGUAGCAUCACCAGCUCCUUAAAUUCAAAGUCGGUAAUUCUGGAUUUUGUGUAUUCUGGCUCUAGGUAAAGUUUCUUCUCUUCCGGCGCUGGCUUUUUACCAUUUGGCUUUCCCUUGGACUUCCGCAGCACCUUGCCCACCGCCUGCAGCACCAUCUUGCAGCUCAGUCCGGCCUUGGGGCUCUGCGCGUGGACGGGCCGUUCGGCGGGCAGGCUGCACUGAUCCCCGACCAUGGUCCGGCGGAGCGGGGCGCCGCGGGGCACGGCUCGGCGCACCGCGGCCUCUCGCCGCUCUCCC